GCAUUAAUGGGGUAGUGGUAACCUGGGUCGUUGCCAUUGAUCGAGCAGUAGUUCGACCCGCCGGGGGUUCGAUUCCCCCUUAAUGCA
Molecule: transfer RNA, 87 nt
Filed under: Steccherinum ochraceum
Lineage: Eukaryota; Fungi; Basidiomycota; Agaricomycetes; Polyporales; Steccherinaceae
Rfam family: tRNA
About the family: Transfer RNA (tRNA) molecules are approximately 80 nucleotides in length. Their secondary structure includes four short double-helical elements and three loops (D, anti-codon, and T loops).
Source: Rfam by way of RNAcentral